Molecule: ribosomal RNA, 253 nt
Filed under: uncultured bacterium
Lineage: Bacteria
Description: partial 16S ribosomal RNA
Rfam family: Bacterial small subunit ribosomal RNA
Source: RNAcentral
GACAGAGGUGCCAAGCGUUAGGCGGAAUCACUGGGCUUAAAGCGUGUGUAGGUGGAUGUCUAAGUACCUUGUGAAAUCCCAUGGCUCAACCAUGGAACUGCUUGGUAUACUGGACGUCUUGAGCCACUUAGGGGCUACCGGAACAAAUGGUGGAGCGGUGAAAUGCGUAGAUAUCAUUUGGAACGCCAAUGGUGAAAACAGGUAGCUGGGAGUGUGCUGACACUGAGACACGAAAGCCAGGGGAGCGAACGGG